This 484-nucleotide ribosomal RNA is filed under the name uncultured bacterium. RNAcentral describes it as "bacterial SSU rRNA". It matches the Rfam family "Bacterial small subunit ribosomal RNA", at positions 30 to 507 of the family's 1533-position model. The record is from RNAcentral.
AUUGAACGCUGGCGGCAGGCCUAACACAUGCAAGUCGAGCGGUAAAGAGAAGCUUGCUUCUCUUGAGAGCGGCGGACGGGUGAGUAAUGCCUAGGAAUCUGCCUGGUAGGGGGGGAUAACGCUCGGAAACGGACGCUAAUACCGCAUACGUCCUACGGGAGAAAGCAGGGGACCUUCGGGCCUUGCGCUAUCAAAUGAGCCUAGGUCGGAUUACCUAGUUGGUGAGGUAAUGGCUCACCAAGGCGACAAUCCGUAACUGGUCUGAGAGGAUGAUCAGUCACACUGGAACUGAAACACGGUCCAAACUCCUACGGGAGGCAGCAGUGGGGAAUAUUGGACAAUGGGCGAAAGCCUGAUCCAGCCACGCCGCGUGUGUGAAGAAGGUCUUCGGAUUGUAAAGCACUUUAAGUUGGGAGGAAGGGCAGUUACCUAAUACGUAUCUGUUUUGACGUUACCGACAGAAUAAGCACCGGCUAACUCUGUG